This 478-nucleotide ribosomal RNA is filed under the name uncultured bacterium. RNAcentral describes it as "SSU rRNA". It matches the Rfam family "Bacterial small subunit ribosomal RNA", at positions 26 to 514 of the family's 1533-position model. The record is from RNAcentral.
AGGACGAACGCUGGCGGCGUGCCUAACACAUGCAAGUCGAACGCGCUCCAUUCGGUAGCAAUACUGAUGAAGAGUGAGUGGCGAACGGGUGAGUAACACAUGAGCAACCUGCCCCGAAGACUGGGACAACACCGGGAAACCGGUGCUAAUACCGGAUAUCCCUAUCGGACCGCAUGAUCUGAUAAGGAAAUGGAUUCCGCUUCGGGAGGGGCUCGUGGCCUAUCAGCUAGUUGGUGAGGUAACGGCUCACCAAGGCAUCGACGGGUAGCUGGUCUGAGAGGACGAUCAGCCACACUGGGACUGAGACACGGCCCAGACUCCUACGGGAGGCAGCAGUGGGGAAUCUUGCGCAAUGGGCGAAAGCCUGACGCAGCAACGCCGCGUGGAGGACGAAGGCUUUCUGAGUUGUAAACUCCUUUCAGCAGGGACGAUAGUGACGGUACCUGCAGAAGAGCACCGGCCAACUACGCGCCAGCAG